RNAcentral lists this long non-coding RNA (207 nucleotides) under Lathyrus oleraceus (garden pea). RNAcentral describes it as "Pisum sativum (pea) long non-coding RNA (PSAT_LNC035312)". The record is from RNAcentral. Lineage: Eukaryota; Viridiplantae; Streptophyta; Magnoliopsida; Fabales; Fabaceae.
GAUUGAUCAAUAACAACCCACGAUCUCGAAAACACGAUCUCUGGCUUGAGAUUCUUGAAAAGACGAUCAAGAAUCUAACAUGAACUCUAGAUACCAAUUUGUUAGUGCUUGAGGCACUUUUAGUGAAAAGAGAAAGAGAGAAUAAGGAAAUGAGGAUUGUAUUACUGAAUUGAAUGAUAAAACUGAAUUACAAAGUGUCGAUUUAUA